Molecule: ribosomal RNA, 658 nt
Filed under: Enterobacteriaceae bacterium EKM302K
Lineage: Bacteria; Pseudomonadati; Pseudomonadota; Gammaproteobacteria; Enterobacterales; Enterobacteriaceae
Description: bacterial SSU rRNA
Rfam family: Bacterial small subunit ribosomal RNA
Source: RNAcentral
UCCUUGAGGAGUGGCUUCCGGAGCUAACGCGUUAAGUCGACCGCCUGGGGAGUACGGCCGCAAGGUUAAAACUCAAAUGAAUUGACGGGGGCCCGCACAAGCGGUGGAGCAUGUGGUUUAAUUCGAUGCAACGCGAAGAACCUUACCUACUCUUGACAUCCAGAGAACUUAGCAGAGAUGCUUUGGUGCCUUCGGGAACUCUGAGACAGGUGCUGCAUGGCUGUCGUCAGCUCGUGUUGUGAAAUGUUGGGUUAAGUCCCGCAACGAGCGCAACCCUUAUCCUUUGUUGCCAGCGAUUCGGUCGGGAACUCAAAGGAGACUGCCAGUGAUAAACUGGAGGAAGGUGGGGAUGACGUCAAGUCAUCAUGGCCCUUACGAGUAGGGCUACACACGUGCUACAAUGGCAUAUACAAAGAGAAGCGACCUCGCGAGAGCAAGCGGACCUCAUAAAGUAUGUCGUAGUCCGGAUUGGAGUCUGCAACUCGACUCCAUGAAGUCGGAAUCGCUAGUAAUCGUGGAUCAGAAUGCCACGGUGAAUACGUUCCCGGGCCUUGUACACACCGCCCGUCACACCAUGGGAGUGGGUUGCAAAAGAAGUAGGUAGCUUAACCUUCGGGAGGGCGCUUACCACUUUGUGAUUCAUGACUGGGGUGAAGUC